RNAcentral lists this long non-coding RNA (244 nucleotides) under Ictidomys tridecemlineatus (thirteen-lined ground squirrel). RNAcentral's name for it is "lncRNA (ENSSTOG00000031044.1)". Lineage: Eukaryota; Metazoa; Chordata; Mammalia; Rodentia; Sciuridae. The record is from RNAcentral.
UCCAGUCCUCCCACCAAAUGGGCCAUACGUACCUUGCUCACAAUAAAGAGGUCCUCCCGCUUCACCACCUUCUCCUGGAUCUUCUCUUGGAUGGCUUCUCCCACCUCAUUCUCAUUCUGAUAGACGUAGGCGCAGUCUAUGUGGCGAUAGCCUGCAUCAAUGGCUUUGAGAGAGCAAAUAGAUGUCUGGCGUCCCGGUAAUGAGGCUCACAGUCGCUUUAAAUCCUGGUUAGGGAGGCUGGCCC